GGGUGCGAUCAUACCUGCACUAAUGCACCGGAUCCCAUCAGAACUCCGAAGUUAAGCGUGCUUGUCCGAGAGCAGUACUAGGAUGGGUGCCCCCUGGGAAUUCCUAGUGUUGCACCCC
This is a ribosomal RNA of Salvia splendens (bonfire salvia), 118 nucleotides long. The record is from RefSeq and is a predicted model, not a curated record. Lineage: Eukaryota; Viridiplantae; Streptophyta; Magnoliopsida; Lamiales; Lamiaceae.